CAAAUUUUGUCCCAGUAGAUAUUUAAACAAACAAACAAGCAAACAAACAAACAAAAAAAAAAGGAGGUGGGAAAGUAAUGUUUUUAUACUGCUGAGGGUUCUGAGCCACUCAGUGGAAGAUAUUCUGUUCUCUUCUGUUUCCCCAAGUUAUAAAAUGUGUUUUAUCAACAGCACGUAAGCAACUGCAAGUCUUAAGAUUUAAUUAAUCUUGUUAGGCAGAAGAUGGAAAUGAUCUACCUGAAGUAGACAGAAGCUGAAAUAUGGUUUGAAGUUGUGCUGUUGCAGUGUUUGCAUCCACCUAACUAAAUGACUGAGCUAAGUGUCAUGUACUGGAACGUCUGCAUAAGCUUGAGACAUCUGAAAUGCCUGGAUUUCUGACUGCUGCGCAGUAAUCCCAGCUGACUGCUGUCUGGAUAGUAAGAGGCCGGUUUUGCACUGCCUGCUAGAUUGUUCGUGUUGAAGAGAGCCUCAGCAACACUUCUGUAGCCAAGUCAGGUCAAUGUUUCUGUCUGAAAAGAGAAGCAGAUCUUGCAAGUAAACCUGUUCAUGUUUCAGAAUGCUGUCUCGUGUUUUCUUCUUUGUCAGCCUCUGAUGUUUUAUCUAGCUGCAUAGAUUUCAGUACCAUGACUUCUCAAAACUGUGAAUUUUAAUUUGAAGAAUGCUGGCUGAAUGGCUCCAUGUAAUUAAAAUAAUAGGUCCUUACAUUAGUUACAUCUGUAAAAUGCAUGAUGGAAAUGUCACCAUCUAUGCUUAAUUACUACUGUUAAAAAAUAGGAAGUAGAUUAGUUAGAUAUUCUGUUAACAAAAAGAUAUCAGGGAGUGCCUAAAGCCAAACAAAAAGCUCUGUAUCUGAAACUACAAAUCCCAAAUAUCAGAUUGGAUCUUAUUCUUCCUGGAUCUUCUUGUACCCACAAUAUUUAGAAAACCUAACUCCUAUUUUGUGUGAGUUUUAGAAAAAUGGAAAAAAUGUCUGUAUGCAUGAUGUAAAUGUACUUACUGAAACUGUGAGUUGUGCUGCAAAGUAUAAAAUGUUCAUUUGGUUCAUUGCUAUUACAAAG
Gallus gallus (chicken) is the source of this 1058-nucleotide long non-coding RNA. Lineage: Eukaryota; Metazoa; Chordata; Aves; Galliformes; Phasianidae. The record is from Ensembl.